CCUUGAAAAAAUCAAAGGUGUAACCUGCCCAAUGAUCUUAAACUUAAAAAAUAUAACUAUUUUUAAAAAGAUUUAAAGGACGCAGUAUCCUGACUGUGAUAAUGUAGCAUAAUCAUUCGCCAUUUAAUUGAUGGAUAGUAUGAAUGGUUGAACGAAUUCUUCACUGUCUUAAAAAAAGAAAUAAUGAAAUUUAAAUAAUAGUAAAGAUGCUAUUUAAAAUUGUAAGACGAAAAGACCCUAUAGAGCUUAACUAUAAGUUCUUUUAAUUAAAAGAACAUAAUUCUCAAAAUAAAGAACUUGGUAGUUUAGUUGGGGCGACUAUCUUCUAAUAUUAACGAAGACAAGCAAAAUUAAUAUAUAAUUUAUUGUAUAACCUAUAAGUUUAACAAUUACAAAAGUAGGCAUAAUGACCCGUUUUCAUUUAGUAAUUAAAGAAAACGAUCAAUAAAUAAAAGCUACCUUAGGGAUAACAGGAUAAUUUUGUUUUAGAGAUCCUAUCGAAAACAAAGUUUGUCACCUCUAUGUUGAAUUAAGAUAUCCUAGUAAUGCAGAAGUUACUAAAGGUAGGUCUGUUCGACCUUUAAAAU
RNAcentral lists this ribosomal RNA (587 nucleotides) under Hydractinia sp. MSP-2020. RNAcentral describes it as "partial large subunit ribosomal RNA". It matches the Rfam family "Bacterial large subunit ribosomal RNA", at positions 1835 to 2594 of the family's 2925-position model. The record is from RNAcentral. Lineage: Eukaryota; Metazoa; Cnidaria; Hydrozoa; Anthoathecata; Hydractiniidae.